UUUUUUUUUUUUUUUUUUGUCAGUAACGAUACAUUUGUAUAAUCUAUUCUAUCCUAAUCUAGGGGGCCUAAGAAAACUGUUGUAAGGGCUAGUAGGUAUACAGACCCAACUAGAUCAAGAGAAUGUUAUGGCAUAACUCUUAGAUUUUUUUCACUAUAAACCCUCACCUACAGCCUAAGGAGGGACUUAAACCCCUCUCUGGUGGUCACUGGCCAUUGGCCCAGUGGUUGAGUAGUAGGGUAUUUAGAAAUGUACAAUUUGCAAGUUUACAGGAAUCUCACCUUUUAUAGAAACAGAUCUCACCCACUGCAGAGCAAGCAAGUAUUGAAUAUUUCUUUUGGAGUUUUUUUUUAUACUCAAUAGGCUGUUGAGAAGAAAGGACCUGCACCCCCCAUUUGCGUUUCGUUUUGAAAGAUUCAAGGCAAGAAAUUUUUAUUGUUUUUGGACUAUUUAUCCUCAUAUUUCUGGGAAGGACCCUGCAUCCGCACCUGGGCUCUGUUUUUUUUGUGAUUUGAGACAUUUUGAUGAUUUUACCGUCCAAAGCGUGUAGAAUAAAAAUUUAUUCCACUUCUUACCAUGAUGCAACCAUUGAGUAGGAAAAAUAAAUAAGGACUUUAAGUUAAACAGAAAUUUCCGACGUCACAAAACUGAUUCCGUUAAUAUGCUUAUAUUUUAACGUAAAGUUAUGGAUUUCCACACAAUUUUUCUUAAAUUAAAAUUUUCUUUAUAACUCCACACACUUUUAAUGUAAAGUUAUGAUUAAUGUGCUAAUAUGCACCAUUAUAUUGGAUUUAUUUCCAAACAAUGUAUUAUCAUAGUUACAGAAAAUGUACACAAAGUAAGUGACAAUGAAUUAUGUCUAUAUAUAAAGCCAUCAAAUUCGAACCAUCCUGAUGCUAGAACAUAUGAAAAAGAAAACCUGAUAAACUCACACUUCUGAAGACCAAGAGUUCGAGUUAUUUAGCAAAUUGUAGGAUAAAUUAGAUAUAACUCCCCUGAUGCAAGAACAUAUGAAAAAGAAAAGUAGAUAAACUGCACUUUUGAAAACCAAGAGUUUGAGUUAUUUAGCAAAUUGUAGGGUAAAUUACAUAUAACUCCCUUAUAGUUUUGCACAAUGUCAGAUAAUCCAUCUAAGGUAUCAAAAUAGUCACGUAACCCCCUAUGAUUUUAUAUAAAGCGGAAAAUGGACGAAAUGCAUAAUCAGUUACAGCGAUUAGACCACACUUGCUUUAAAAAUGUGUAUGAUAAAAUAUUACACUGUUCACUUAACUCUUUUAUGAUUUGCAUAAAUAUCUAUUUUAUCCCCUCAUGAUAUUCGUAUUUAUCCACGUAAUCCCCCUAUAAUUUUAUACAAGGUGAAUAAUUCGUUGUUUGAUUUAACAUUUAAAUAAGGACACUACUAGUACUAUGCCCUCGGGGUAAUUUUGGUAUUCAAGUUAUUAUAGAACAUAGGCUUUGGAUCUUUAUGUCAUCUUUAACCAAAAAAAGGGACAAGUGUGGAGUACCUAAAGCUUUUCUGAAGUCCAAAUAUCAUUUGCUUUUUCCAAAUUAACCUCAACUUAGUAAUUAAGUGACAAUGAAGUUUUUACAUUUCAAUACGGUUUCUUAAGCAAUGUACUGAGUAACAUAAUUACUUGGGUAUAUGAUGACAAGCAUAUUGCCUUGCCCCCACGUAAAUGUUAAUUUUUUUUUUCUACUGCAAGAUUUAGAGGAAAUAAAGUCUUCUAUUAAGCUGAAAUACUACUUGAUUGUGUUUGGAUAAAAAUAUAUCGUAGUUAAUUUAGAUAGGAGCUUACAACAUCGCAAUAAUAAUUUCUUUAGCACGAGUAAUGAGUUGCUUGCUUAGUAAAAGGGCAAAAUACACAAGUGAUAAGUUUCUCAAUACAAAUUAUCUGAACAAAAAAAAAAAAAAAAAGAAAAUUCCCUCGAAAAAGUUGAAGGUAGCACGGCAUUAUCAAAUUGUCAUCCAUGAUCCAUCCACUAUAAUAAGGGUAUAUGGAGGCAUAUCAAAGUGGUGGGCUCACUGCUUCCGAACCUUUACAAUUGCCGCAUACCUUUCCCUCACAAUUGGGCAUUGGUUCCAGGGAAGAAUUUGAUUCGUGUCCCUGUUUUCUUCGAGAAGAAUUAUGCUCUUUCCUUGUCUUUACUUUCUCAUUUGACUAAAAGUUAAUCUCUCGAGCAUAUGGGCCGAGCAAUGACUUUGCCGAGGAUAGGGAUAAAUGAGCUCCAACGACAGGCUAAGAGUCAAAAAGUUAAAGAGGAAGAACGAUGUCGUGAAUAUACUUUUGGUCGCAUAUUUAACAAAUCACCGCUGAAAAGCCUAUAAAAAUUAUCUUACAUGGUGUUUUUAAGCUUCAAAUGAAAAUUGAUAAGUUUAUAACUAAAAUUUAUAAGAUCUAUUCUGAUGAAAUUAGCAUAGGAGCAUAAGCGUUGCACAUAGUGGGCAUUCUUUAGGAAUACGUACUAAGAUAUAAUUUUUUUUAAAAUUAAGUAAAAAGAACAGAAAUUUAACUAUUUAAAUUUCAUAUUGCUAUCAAUUUUCUCCUCCCACAAAACAUAUAAAUCAUUUGUUUAACAAAACCUUAUCGAUGGUACGUCUUAGUAGCAAAGUAUAGAAAUGGGUUAGCUAUAUUGUCAAAACAAUUAUGUUCUUGCCAGAGCAAUUUCACUCUAAAUAAUAGUAAUGCCCUCACAGAUCAAGAGUAAUCAUGUUUUGUAUUGUAAAGAUCCACCGAAUAAACACAAGCGCCAAAAUUGAAAACCAAUCUAAAGUGGGACUUGGCUCAUCUCUAGUUGAUUCUCUCUCCAUUUUCUGCAGUACUCAUCUAGAUGUAUGACAGGCAUUUUCAUUUAUUAACAAGAGUUAGAAUUAGUUAAAUUUAAAUUGAUCAUGUCCUUUUUUAGUAAUUGAAAACAUGUGUCAUACAUCUAAAUGUGCAUUAUACGAAAUGAAGAGAGAAUUCAUUAGAGAGAACCCAAAUCCGUCUAAAAAAUCAUAAUCUCAACCUUUGGAAGUUCUGUAAAAAGAUAACAUACUCAUUUAUAGUCUUGAUAUACUAGCACAAAGUGUUAUAGUCUUGAUUCGCAAUAAAUAGAAGGCGAAUUUACCCUAAAGAGAAGCAAAAAAUAGACUACGAGUUGAAGCCCAUUCUCAUCAAUUCAUCACAAAUAUUCAGAACAAAUCAUAGUUGAGAUUAGAAACUAGAGAAAUGCAUCCGUGAAACAGUUGCUAAAAUUUGGGCCUUACAAGAUCAAUACAAUGUGGGUUGAGGUGAGAGAGAGUCCAAAAUAUCCCAUAAACAUUAAGGGUCUGUUUGGUUGGAAGUAAAAUGUUUUCCUUGGGAAAAUAUUUUCCGUAGAAGUAAUUUUCCAUGAAAAUCAUUUCCCUUUCAUCAUUUUCAGGUGUUUGGUUAGCUUAUUGAAAAUAUUUUCUUACUUCAUUUUUCUGGUGUUUGUUUAACUUUUGAAAUAUUUUCACUUUUAUCUCUAUCUUUACUUUCUACACAUUAUAACUACAUACUUCUUCCCAUGCAAAAUAAAAAAAUUUAUCUCAUUGUUUAACUUUAAAAAAUCUUGGAGAAAUGUAUAUAUGAAUAAAAAAUAUUUCCUUAAGCAAUAAACAAAUUGCUGGCUAUUUAGUGUCAAAUAUCAAUCACAUGCAAUACUUAUUGUGACAUAUAUCUUGCACUCUCACUGCUGAAAGUUUCUCUAGAAAAGAAUGUCCCUAUUAUACGUUAUUAAUUACUAGCAUAGGAUGAGCAGGAUGAGGUUUUUUUAUUUUUAUUUUGAAUAUACUAGGGGGAGGGUUGGGUUGGGUUGGGUGGUACGGGGGAGGGAGUGUAAGGAAGAGAUCUUGGGUGGGUUCGAGUCCUCAUGUUUACACUAAAAAAAAAAACCAUACUACAAGAUGUUUUCAGUAAGUUUGGAACAUACUACAGGCGGGAUGCAUGCAUUUCCAAAAACAACUUCAGUAAGUUUGGAAGGGAAGUUGUUUUCCAUAAGAUGAGUGAAAAUAUUUUACAUAGGAAAAUGUUUUCAGUAACUUCUGUGCAACCAAACACGGGAAAUUAGGAAAAUAUUUUCCCGGAAAACAUUUUCACCCGAAACAAACGGACCCUAAAUGAGUCUAUUUUUCAGCUUGAGAGGAGCAUAUGGGCUUACUGUUUGUUUUGAUAGUUUCAACGUUUAAUCGUUUAUGUUUUUACUUUGUUUUAGGCCCGAUGUUGGCAAAAUGUGAUUCCUAUUUUAUCCAAUUAAAUUUCAUUCAUGUAUUUAGAAAGAGUGAGAUUACUUUUUUGGUUCUUCGCAUCACAAUGUGCUCGUGCAAGCAUUACAGGCAACUACUGAAGUACAAAAAAGCUACCAAAUGGUAAAUAUAAUUAAACUUGCUUAAAAAAAAUGAAAAGCAUGAUUAUUUCUACAAGCCAAUUGAUGGUGAUGACAAAACAUACCAGAUAUUGCACCAGCUGAUGCCCUUCAAUCUAUGAUGAUGAUCUUCAGAUUCUCGUUUCCAUUAUUAUAUUCCUGUGCUGCUUCAAUUUCCCGUACUAAAGAUUUGACGCCAUCUCCGCAAGAACUCACCUUAAUUUCUUCAAGAGUAGAUAUACUCUCUAAACAAGCAGGCAUCAUUUUCAAAUUAGAAAUAUCGUGGAGCUUUAAUUGCUGAAGGCACGGGAAGUAAUCAUCACUGUCAGGGUCUGCCUCUGUCCACUCCGCAACUUUUACACAUUCCAAAGUCAAGACCCUGAGUUUAGGGAAUCCUCCUUCCAUCAGCUCCCAUUUUUGGCCCUCCAUUGACCGCCAUCUUAAUUUUAGGACUUCAAGGUUGGGUAGUCGUUCAAUCAAUGACAUUUUACUACAGGGAAGACCCAGAUCGUAAAGACACAACUUCUUCAAAUUCAUGGGAAGGGGAGGCUCAACAUGUUCCCAUGAACCUGAGGAGUAAUUGCCCCGCCAGGUGAGUGAAUCUAGGCAUUCUAGUCGGCUCAUGUUCAACACUCCAUUUCCAGUCUGACGAUCGGAAAUUUUAAGUCGGCGAACGUUGGGAAUCCUUCUCAAUAAGUUCUCUCCCUCUUCAUAAAGACGCAAACAAGAGAGUGUGUCUAAAUUGGGUAAAGUGGAGAGGUUUUCAACACCGUUGUCAUUGG
This 5147-nucleotide long non-coding RNA is filed under the name Coffea arabica (coffee). RNAcentral describes it as "long non-coding RNA (CARA_LNC008371)". The record is from RNAcentral. Lineage: Eukaryota; Viridiplantae; Streptophyta; Magnoliopsida; Gentianales; Rubiaceae.